GGACAUAUCACGUUGCAACAUCGGUUCUCGUACGAUCACUGAAGUUAAGCAAGUCGAGCCUGGUCAGUACUUAGAUGGGUGACCGCUUGGAAAUAUCAGGUGCAG
This 105-nucleotide ribosomal RNA is filed under the name Acanthosepion pharaonis. The record is from RNAcentral. Lineage: Eukaryota; Metazoa; Mollusca; Cephalopoda; Sepiida; Sepiidae.